Long non-coding RNA from Equus asinus (donkey), 5191 nucleotides. NCBI's taxonomy places the organism in Eukaryota, Metazoa, Chordata, Mammalia, Perissodactyla, Equidae. The record is from Ensembl.
AAGGAAAUAGAUUGGUGGGCUUCUAGUCCAUCUCUGCCACAGCUCUGCAAUGAAUUUAAAUUGAACUUAUUGCAUGCAUUGCUUAAUGUCCUUUGUUGUUAAACUAUUUCCUAAAUGGUACAACCUGAAUAUCUUAGUGUGACAAAUUUACUCAUGAAAGGUCCCUCUAUCAUCAGGUUGGAGGAAGUCUUGACAAGGAAGUUGGCAAGACUGGAACUCUCAGAGAUGACCACAGGAUGGAGAAUGUCGGGGGUAGUACAGCGUGGUGCAAGAAGCUCCAGCUCUGGGGCCAGUUGGACAGGGUUUGAUUCCAACUCUGGCACCUGUCAGUGGAGCAGCCUCAGAACAACAUGGCUGUCCAAGCACCAGACUUCAUGGGAAAGGAGAGGAGAGCUCAGGGAGCUUCCUUUCUGACUAUUCCGUGAAGGAUUUUAUUCUCUGGAAAAAAUGAAUCCCCUUACCAAUGUAACUCAGGAGUAUUCUGUCCUUGCAAAAUUCAAGAGCCUGAUUAUUACAAAGAGAAAAGCAAAUCUUCCCAUGGGUACUCAGUAUAAAAGAUAUCAUUUUGUUCACCCUAAACCUAGGAAGCAUUUCAAUACCUUUCCUACUAUUGCAGCAGAAAGCAUUUUGUGGAAACCCGUGUACAAGCAAUUUGUGAAGGGCAUUAGCAGACUGUUUGCACUGGAAGAGUUGGGCCCUGACUGAAUUUUCCCUUUCAUACACAGCAUUAAAUAAUAUCAGAAAUGGCCAGAACAAUAGAAAUGACGUCAAUGAAGUCUCUCAUGGAAACCAAAAGUGUCUGUAGUUUAAACACUGAGUUUUGCAAUACAACGCUCUGUGAUGACGACAACAAAGAAGGAGGAAGAGGAGGUGCAUACAAAUUAAUGUGACAGUUAAUACAAGAGCCGCAAUGCAAUUAUUUCUGGAUAUCACUGGUAAUUUGAAAGUGGCUAUAUACUCCCAAGUCAUGUGUUUGACCAACAGUAUAUAAUUUGCAUUCAGUAGUGUGCUCAAUCAUUUUCAACUAAAGCUUUGUCAUUUUAAUGUUGACAUUUAAGUUCCAAUUUGAAGCUGGUAUAAGACAAGACCAAAUGUAUGGAACCAACACCUCAACUCUAGUUACCUAGUGUAUGCAAAUAUUCCGUACCCAGGGAUCAGUCCUCUUUAAGAGUGGCAUCCAAAAGGGGUCUCCUCUUGUUUGAGAUGGCAAUGUUUUCCACAGACACAAGACCACGAGACAUUCACAUGCUUCCCCCCACUUCCUUCUGCUAUCAAAAUCUACUUAUGCUCCAAGGCCCCACUCACAUCUCACUUCCUCCAUGAGGCUUUCAUCAGCUAUUCUGGAACAUGUAACCAUUCCAUGUGCUGAAUUCCCAUAGACUUUAUUGUCUACAGUAUUUUUUGUUGUUAUUUUAUGAGAACUUAUAUUCCUAUGAGCAUGUUUUCAACAUUUUUUGUCUUCUCAAAGGAAGAGGAUGAUUUAUUUCUGUUUUUUGGUGGGGGGAAGAUAUCCUUCAUUUAAUAUUUAACAGAAGCAAGACCUGGAUAAGUAGUCACUGCAAGGAUGUAAAGAGAUGUAAAUGACUAUUCAACUGCACUAUGUUUAGGACAAUGGUUUCUCUGAGUGAAUACAAGUGGGAGAAAGGUGAUAGACGAAUAGUCAAGGAGUCAAGAAGUUUGCCUCUGAAAUCACAUCAAGGGUCUGGUGCAAAAGAAGAACCUUUAAAACUACUGGCUCAGCAGCUGGAAUUGAAGGAGUCUUCUAGGCAGCAAAAGGAGAUCAUUCUAUGUCAUUACACCAAGAUCAAGAGUUUGGUGAAGUGAGGUAGGAUAACUUUCUCUCUAAACCACCAAACCAGAGUUGAAAUGGCAGAGAUGAAUAAAUACUUACUUAUGCAUCACUUAGCAGUAGCUGCUGCAUAUUGGAGAACUUUCCAUAGAUAUAUGAAGAGCUAAUGUGACAGCCUAUUCCACAUGAGCCAUGUUAACUGCACAGGGAGUUAAUGGUCAUAUCUGGAAAUAUCAACUUGCAAUAUUAGCCUAGAUGAAAGCAAUUGUCAGACCAUGGUUCUAGGGGAGCACCUGUUGAGUUAUUCCUGUUGGAGUAAAGCUACUGAAACUGAAGUUGAGGUGUUGAAUUCUGCUAGAAAAUCUCAUAUAAGGAAUUAUCACCCUAAGGAGCAAAGAAGAUAAUCCCCUGGCUUCUGAGAGCUCACAUAUCAGCCAACAGAUUAAAUAUGAGAAUUGUAUUACCUGAAUGAGGAAAGAAGGCAGAGAGCUCAGUCAAGCCUGCUUGGACUUCUGACCUACACAGAAAGGAGAUGAUGAAUGAGUAUUGCUUAAAGUCGCUGAGUUUGGGGCAAUGGACAAUCUCUAACAGAAAUGAGACACUUAAAUUAAGGAGAUGAAGUUCCUGUGGGAGGAUGUCAGUCACUACCAGCUGGCCAAGGAUAGAUUUUAAACAAACUUUGGAAAUUUGGAAAUAAUAUGAGCAAUUUACUUUGGAGAGAAAAUUUGAGACAAUGGACACCGCCAAUUGUCCCAACCAGCCAGGUUUGGAUAAUCACAGAAUACAAGAAUUCACAUAUAUGAUCUGGAGCCCAGUUGCUGAGUUGCUUUCCACAGGUAUUUUGUCAAUAAGAAAACAUUGCAAAUAUGACCAAUGAGUGGAGAAAAGAAUCACUAACACACUUAAGGGAGAGAAUACGUGGAAAUAAACCCUAUAGAAAUCCAGAACAUGAAGGCCUUUAAGUGACUUCAGGGAGGAGGGAUGACCAAGGACCGAUUUUUACUGACCAACUGUCAAUUUGUAAUACUCCUUAAAAAACAGGCAAAACCAAAGCUAUAACACAGAGUAGAAAUGAUUUGAUGAUGUAAUGCUUUUGCAUCUGAGCUUUUAAAGCUCUUAGAAAUCUUUUUAAGAAGAUUGAAGACUUCAAACAAAAGCCAGGCAGCCUCCGGAAUGGCCAAUUCUAAGUGGAAGACUAGAGUCCAGUCAUUCUCCAGGGAAAGGAACCUGAUUCCUCGGUGAGCCAGGCGCUGCUCUGCUUGGUCACUCUCAGAACAGAAGUCCAGGAGCAGCUCCAAGGCUUUCCUCAGGAUCUGGCCAUCAGGCCUCUCCCGAAUGAGUCCACCUCUCCCUCUGGAUCCCCAGAAAGAUGAUUAAAUGAGUCAUAAUUUAAGAAAGAAAAGGCUGGCAACUGGGACCUCAGCUUGAGGUCACGACUGUGUAUAAAGAAUGUGAGGAAAAGAAUCCAUCAUUCCAUUGAUUUCUUACAUCUUUCCCGUGGACUAGCAAUUUAAUGAAAAAUAGCCAAUUGUCCUGAAGGUGUUGCUCUUGGAAGGUGCCUGCAUACCAGGAAAGCCAUGAAUGCCGCAGGGACCUCAAGCAGACAAGACCCUGAAGGCAGGAGGUGCAAGAGAGCUGAGAAUCAUGCAGACUUCAGCGUUACCACGUGCUCCCCAUCCCAGGCGAGAGAAAAAUUAAAAAAAAAAAAAUUUCUUGACCUGGAGCUCCCUCUCUAGCUCUCCCUAGUGUCUUGCCAAUCCUUCCCACACUAAUUUCUUGAAAAGUCUUUCUGCUCUCUGUCCAUUCACUGCUCAGUGCACUUUACCGGAAGCUUACCAAUGACCUCCACAUUGCUAAAGCCAGUGAAGUUUUAAAAUUUCUUAUCUGACUGGACCUUUUUGUCUUACUUGGUAUUAUUCUUUCCUCCUUUUUAUGAUAAUAAUAAUAGAAUAAUAGCUAAUAUUACUGAGUAUUAAGUAUUUGCCACACAUUGUGCUAAACAUACAUUAAAACUCCACUUUUUUUCCUGAAAUGUAAAUUUGGCAUCUUCCUUGGUGAACAAACUAAGUUACAUGCUAUAUGGUGGCAAGUGAGUGAAGAGUCCUCUUGGUGUGCUGCGUACAUAGGGACCACGGAUCCUGCAGACCCUGUUGGAGAAUACAUCACUGAUCCCAAACACCAUUUGCUGGUGGUACCAAGGCUCUGAUCUUAUCGCCCUCUCUGGCUGGGUGGUUUUGGGAAGGGACUAGAGCCCCCAGAGAAAGGCCUCAGAGAAGCAGAGACUAACUCAUCAGCAAUAAUAGAUGCUGGCAUGCUGUAUGAAACACCUACAACCUGAGAUUUAUUUCAGUGACUGCCUGUCUUCCUUUUUCAUUCUGUUUCUCUCCACGAUAACUUUUGCUCUGAACUUUGUGCGACCGCACAGAGAACAGGUCAGCUAAGAACAGACUACCAGUUUAUACAUGACUUCAGUUCUAUUCUAGGAAGCAAAGGCCAUACGGAUAGUCUAGAGUAAGUGAAGAAGGCCCAAAGAAAGCAGAAAUCGAGUAGGUAUGUUGAUGUUGAAGGGCCACUGCUAGAAGGUAGCGAUUGAUGCAGCAUAAAUGCCAAACGACUGUGUUCUUUGGUCUGGCCCAGACACGCAGCCAGAGCCCUAAACCUCGGAGGCCAUGCUGCAACCACACACAGUUACCCACACGCUCCGAGGCCUCUCUGUGCCAUUAAAGGUGGUUUCUUUGUAGUUUUCCUUAGCAUGGAUAAUAACUUGCUAGUGUGUUUGUUAUAUUUUUUCCAAGCUGCCGCAUGUUUUCUCUCUCUUGACCUUUAAUGGCAUUUACUGGAAAUACCUUCAUGUCCAACUGAAGUAAAAUUUCAUCAGAUUUAUUUCUAUUUAAGGACAUUACUUAUUCAGAAUGAUAAUAUAUUCCUUCUCUAUAUUCAUGCAUUAAUGUAACCACAUUAUUUUUCUUCCUCAUUUCUUUUAAUAGCAGGGAAAUAGUGAAUUCAGGGAAAAUUACUCUGCAUAAAAUGCCAUGAGUCUUUUCCCUGGGCCUGGAGAUAUGAAUUUUGCAAGAUUCCCCUCUGAGGAGUCAACAGCCGGAGCUCAGUAAACAGGUGGGUUCAAUUGAGAGAAAUUGAAGAAAAUUUCCAAGACCACUCAGCUGAGAAAAGGUAGAAUCAGGGGCUGGCCCCGUGGCCCAGUGGUUAAGUUCGCGCGCUCAGCUGCAAGCGGCCCAGUGUUUCGUGGUUCGAAUCCUGGGCGCGGACAGGGCACUGCUCAUCAAACCACGCUGAGGCAGCAUCCCACAUGCCACAACUAGAAGGACCCACAACGAAGAACACACAACUAUAUACGGGGUCUUUGGGGAGAAAAAGGAAAAAAAAAAUAAAAUCUUAAAAAAA